AUACAUGCAAGUCGAGCGGACAGAUGGGAGCUUGCUCCCUGAUGUUACGGCGGACGGGUGAGUAACACGUGGGUAACCUGCCUGUAAGACUGGGAUAACUCCGGGAAACCGGGGCUAAACGGAUGCUUGUUUGAACCGCAUGGUUCAAACAUAAAAGGUGGCUUCGGCUACCACUUACAGAUGGACCCGCGGCGCAUUAGCUAGUUGGUGAGGUAAUGGCUCACCAAGGCACGAUGCGUAGCCGACCUGAGAGGGUGAUCGGCCACACUGGGACUGAGACACGGCCCAGACUCCUACGGGAGGCAGCAGUAGGGAAUCUUCCGCAAUGGACGAAAGUCUGACGGAGCAACGCCGCGUGAGUGAUGAAGGUUUUCGGAUCGUAAAGCUCUGUUGUUAGGGAAGAACAAGUACCGUUCGAAUAGGGCGGUACCUUGACGGUACCUAACCAGAAAGCCACGGCUAACUACGUGCCAGCAGCCGCGGUAAUACGUAGGUGGCAAGCGUUGUCCGGAAUUAUUGGGCGUAAAGGGCUCGCAGGCGGUUUCUUAAGUCUGAUGUGAAAGCCCCCGGCUCAACCGGGGAGGGUCAUUGGAAACUGGGGAACUUGAGUGCAGAAGAGGAGAGUGGAAUUCCACGUGUAGCGGUGAAAUGCGUAGAGAUGUGGAGGAACACCAGUGGCGAAGGCGACUCUCUGGUCUGUAACUGACGCUGAGGAGCGAAAGCGUGGGGAGCGAACAGGAUUAGAUACCCUGGUAGUCCACGCCGUAAACGAUGAGUGCUAAGUGUUAGGGGGUUUCCGCCCCUUAGUGCUGCAGCUAACGCAUUAAGCACUCCGCCUGGGGGAGUACGGCGCAAGACUGAACUCAAAGGAAUUGACGGGGGCCCGCACAGGGGGACAUGUGGUUAAUUCGAAGCAACGCGAAGAACCUUACCAGGUCUUGACAUCCUCUGACAAUCCUAGAGAUAGGACGUCCCCUUCGGGGGCAGAGUGACAGGUGGUGCAUGGUUGUCGUCAGCUCGUGUCGUGAGAUGUUGGGUUAAGUCCCGCAACGAGCGCAACCCUUGAUCUUAGUUGCCAGCAUUCAGUUGGGCACUCUAAGGUGACUGCCGGUGACAAACCGGAGGAAGGUGGGGAUGACGUCAAAUCAUCAUGCCCCUUAUGACCUGGGCUACACACGUGCUACAAUGGACAGAACAAAGGGCAGCGAAACCGCGAGGUUAAGCCAAUCCCACAAAUCUGUUCUCAGUUCGGAUCGCAGUCUGCAACUCGACUGCGUGAAGCUGGAAUCGCUAGUAAUCGCGGAUCAGCAUGCCGCGGUGAAUACGUUCCCGGGCCUUGUACACACCGCCCGUCACACCACGAGAGUUUGUAACACCCGAAGUCGGUGAGGUAACCUUUAGGAGCCAGCCGCCGAAGG
Molecule: ribosomal RNA, 1418 nt
Filed under: Bacillus sp. YC-B8
Lineage: Bacteria; Bacillati; Bacillota; Bacilli; Caryophanales; Bacillaceae
Description: 16S ribosomal RNA
Rfam family: Bacterial small subunit ribosomal RNA
Source: RNAcentral